This 372-nucleotide ribosomal RNA is filed under the name uncultured bacterium. RNAcentral describes it as "bacterial SSU rRNA". It matches the Rfam family "Bacterial small subunit ribosomal RNA", at positions 524 to 898 of the family's 1533-position model. The record is from RNAcentral.
UACAGAGGGUACUAGCGUUGUUCGGAAUGACUGGGCGUAAAGGGUGCGUAGGUGGUUACUUAAGUGAGAUGUUAAAUGCCCAGCCUUAACCUGGGACUCGCGUUUCAAACUGGGUGACUAGAGUACGGUAGAGGAAAAUGGAAUUCCUAGUGUAGAGGUGAAAUUCGUAGAUAUUAGGAGGAACACCAGAGGCGAAGGCGAUUUUCUGGGCCGGUUACUGACACUGAGGCACGAAAGCGUGGGGAGCAAAUAGGAUUAGAUACCCUGGUAGUCCACGCCCUAAACGAUGAGUGCUAGACGUCGAUUUUUAUAAUCGGUGUCGCAGCUAACGCGUUAAGCACUCCGCCUGAGGACUACGAUCGCAAGAUUAAA